UUUAAUUGAAGAGUUUGAUCAUGGCUCAGAUUGAACGCUGGCGGCAGGCCUAACACAUGCAAGUCGAGCGGCAGCG
Molecule: ribosomal RNA, 76 nt
Filed under: Ewingella americana
Lineage: Bacteria; Pseudomonadati; Pseudomonadota; Gammaproteobacteria; Enterobacterales; Yersiniaceae
Also listed under: 2 other names
Description: partial 16S ribosomal RNA
Rfam family: Bacterial small subunit ribosomal RNA
Source: RNAcentral